This 1346-nucleotide ribosomal RNA is filed under the name uncultured bacterium. RNAcentral describes it as "bacterial SSU rRNA". It matches the Rfam family "Bacterial small subunit ribosomal RNA", at positions 28 to 1381 of the family's 1533-position model. The record is from RNAcentral.
GACGAACGCUGGCGGCGUGCUUAACACAUGCAAGUCGAACGGAAAGGCCCUGCUUUUGUGGGGUGCUCGAGUGGCGAACGGGUGAGUAACACGUGAGUAACCUGCCCUUGACUUUGGGAUAACUUCAGGAAACUGGGGCUAAUACCGGAUAGGAGCUCCUGCUGCAUGGUGGGGGUUGGAAAGUUUCGGCGGUUGGGGAUGGACUCGCGGCUUAUCAGCUUGUUGGUGGGGUAGUGGCUUACCAAGGCUUUGACGGGUAGCCGGCCUGAGAGGGUGACCGGCCACAUUGGGACUGAGAUACGGCCCAGACUCCUACGGGAGGCAGCAGUGGGAAAUAUUGCACAAUGGGCGGAAGCCUGAUGCAGCAACGCCGCGUGCGGGAGGACGGCCUUCGGGUUGUAAACCGCUUUCGCCUGUGACGAAGCGUGAGUGACGGUAAUGGGUAAAGAAGCACCGGCUAACUACGUGCCAGCAGCCGCGGUGAUACGUAGGGUGCGAGCGUUGUCCGGAUUUAUUGGGCGUAAAGGGCUCGUAGGUGGUUGAUCGCGUCGGAAGUGUAAUCUUGGGGCUUAACCCUGAGCGUGCUUUCGAUACGGGUUGACUUGAGGAAGGUAGGGGAGAAUGGAAUUCCUGGUGGAGCGGUGGAAUGCGCAGAUAUCAGGAGGAACACCAGUGGCGAAGGCGGUUCUCUGGGCCUUUCCUGACGCUGAGGAGCGAAAGCGUGGGGAGCGAACAGGCUUAGAUACCCUGGUAGUCCACGCUGUAAACGGUGGGUACUAGGUGUGGGGUCCAUUCCACGGGUUCCGUGCCGUAGCUAACGCUUUAAGUACCCCGCCUGGGGAGUACGGCCGCAAGGCUAAAACUCAAAGGAAUUGACGGGGCCCCGCACAAGCGGCGGAGCAUGCGGAUUAAUUCGAUGCAACGCGUAGAACCUUACCUGGGUUUGACAUGGAUCGGGAGCGCUCAGAGAUGGGUGUGCCUCUUUUGGGGUCGGUUCACAGGUGGUGCAUGGCUGUCGUCAGCUCGUGUCGUGAGAUGUUGGGUUAAGUCCCGCAACGAGCGCAACCCUUGUUCACUGUUGCCAGCACGUUAUGGUGGGGACUCAGUGGAGACCGCCGGGGUCAACUCGGAGGAAGGUGGGGAUGACGUCAAGUCAUCAUGCCCCUUAUGUCCAGGGCUUCACGCAUGCUACAAUGGCUGGUACAGAGAGUGGCGAGCCUGUGAGGGUGAGCGAAUCUCGGAAAGCCGGUCUCAGUUCGGAUUGGGGUUUGCAACUCGACCUCAUGAAGUCGGAGUCGCUAGUAAUCGCAGAUCAGCAACGCUGCGGUGAAUACGUUCCCGGGGCU